Molecule: long non-coding RNA, 885 nt
Organism: Oryza sativa Japonica Group (Japanese rice)
Lineage: Eukaryota; Viridiplantae; Streptophyta; Magnoliopsida; Poales; Poaceae
Source: RefSeq, a predicted model, not a curated record
AGGCGGCGGCAUCGGCCUCGGGGGCACCGCCAGCUGAGACCCCGCCUCGUCAACGCGUCGGCGGCGGCGGCGGCGCGAGGAUCGUUUGACGGCUGCUGCAUGGAACAGAAGAAGCAUCGGUCCAUAUUCCAAAAUCCCUCUUGUCUCCCAGGCGGCGCUCGUGGUUGCCGCCGCCGUCCUAGCCCGAGCGCUGUCUCCAGCCGCGGUCGCCGCCGCCGCCGGCCACCGUCGCGGCGCCGCCCUUCUCUCCCGCCUCGCCCCGGCGGCCUCCUCCCCAGCUACCUCUCCCUCUUUUCUCUGUGUUGGCGCAGGGAAGGAGGAGCCAAGGAGGAAGAAGAUAUCCCUGACAAGUGGGCCCCAUCUGAGGAAGAGAGAGAAAAGGGAAAAGAUAGAUAAUGUGGCAGGCUUACAUGUGGGGUCCACAUGGGUCCUACGCUGACUCAGCCGCUAGGUAGACCAAAACCGGUGUCAAAACCACCUAAGAACCUCGGGUGACCGGUUUUAUACAGUUGAGGGACCCCGCAUAUCUGGUUUUGCGGUGCAAGGACGAUUUUGUAUCCCGAUUUUGCCUAGUGUGAGUAUGAGAUGGUGUUGGAUUUGGCCCAUGGGCUUUUACCGUCUCUCUCUUCAAUCUUCCAGACUAGCUAGCUGCUCUUUUAUUUUUUUUUAAAAAAGUUGUUUCUAUUAGAGGCGAACAUCCUACUUUAAUUCUGUACGAGCAUCCAUUAGAGACACAUUCGCAUUGGAACGAAGAAAUCCUUUAGGAGUGUCCAUACGUGUAUUUGUUGUUAUUUUUAUAUCUCAUAGACAAAGUGAGUUUGGACAAGACUUUCUAUGUGGUUAUGUAACAUCAUCUCAUCUAUAUAUGGGAUUUUUUUUUCUGAA